GAUGAACGCUGGCGGCGUGCCUAAUACAUGCAAGUCGAGCGAACAGACGAGGUGCUUGCUCCUCUGACGUGAGCGGCGGACGGGUGAGUAACACGUGGAUAACCUACCUAUAAGACUGGGAUAACUUCGGGAAACCGGAGCUAAUACCGGAUAAUAUAUUGAACCGCAUGGUUCAAGAGUGAAAGACGGUUUUGCUGUCACUUAUAGAUGGAUCCGCUCCGCAUUAGCUAGUUGGUAAGGUAACGGCUUACCAAGGCAACGAUGCGUAGCCGACCUGAGAGGGUGACCGGCCACACUGGAACUGAGACACGGCCCAGACUCCUACGGGAGGCAGCAGUAGGGAAUCUUCCGCAAUGGGCGAAAGCCUGACGGAGCAACGCCGCGUGAUUGAUGAAGGUCUUCGGAUCGUAAAACUCUGUUAUUAGGGAAGAACAAAUGUGUAAGUAACUAUGCACGUCUUGACGGUACCUAAUCAGAAAGCCACGGCUAACUACGUG
This 497-nucleotide ribosomal RNA is filed under the name uncultured bacterium. RNAcentral's name for it is "partial 16S ribosomal RNA". It matches the Rfam family "Bacterial small subunit ribosomal RNA", at positions 28 to 507 of the family's 1533-position model. The record is from RNAcentral.